AUACGGAGGGUGCAAGCGUUAAUCGGAAUUACUGGGCGUAAAGCGUACGUAGGCGGUUAUUUAAGUCAGAUGUGAAAGCCCCGGGCUUAACUUGGGAACUGCAUUUGAAACUGGGUAACUAGAGUUUAGUAGAGGGGAGUGGAAUUUCAGGUGUAGCGGUGAAAUGCGUAGAGAUCUGAAGGAACACCAGUGGCGAAGGCGACUCCCUGGACUAAAACUGACGCUGAGGUACGAAAGCGUGGGUAUCAAACAGGAUUAGAAACCCCAGUAGUCC
Molecule: ribosomal RNA, 274 nt
Filed under: uncultured bacterium
Lineage: Bacteria
Description: partial 16S ribosomal RNA
Rfam family: Bacterial small subunit ribosomal RNA
Source: RNAcentral